AGUGUUACUUCUACUUUUUGUUGUUCUGAAGUAGUUGUUUCAGAAUUUAAUAUAUAGAGUUAACAAUAGAACACUGCACAUUCUUCUCUAGAUGCCUGACAGCUCAGUGGCUUAAUAAUUAACUUUCUGGGGACUGAGACUUUGUUUUUAUCCAAGAAAAAUGUGUUCAGCCUAUCCACCAAUGAGCCCUGUUCUUGGCAGCAUGUAUUUCCACAAGCAACAAUCUACAGUGAUUAUGAGUAAGUGACUGGGGUGAGUCACUCCUUAUUCUAAGAAAAUGCAAACUAUUUCUGAGGUUAGGAUCACAGUCACCCAUUGGGCUGCAUCUCUAGCUUUAAAAAUGGGGUAGGAGCAAAAAGGGAGAGGAGAAUUGUUGUUGCUCCUAGUUCUCAGUUUGUUGGUUGGGGUUUUGUUUUGGGUUUUUGUGUGUGUGUUGCCCAGCCAGAUUUAAGAACUAGCCUUUGUUAUUUGGCAAAUGCUUAAUUCAGGACAAGGGCUGGAAUAAAUGUCUGGUGGCCUAUGUGUCAGUCUGCCAACUCCUCUAUGCUGAAAGCAACAAUAACAGACCCCUGCUGACAUCAACUGGCUUGGAAUGCAGUUGUUGCUAAUGCUAUUUUAUCUGUAGAGUGAUGGCAAGAUUUCAGUAUAAGAUCUCAGCAAACAUAACCACCUCUGAAAUUCUGCUGCUAGCAGAUGCUGCCUGUGUGAUUGCUUCCACCUGCUCUUCCCAAAGAUGCUGAAAGGAGGGCAGAGGCUUUGCAGUCCUGUUGUUCAAUAGCAUGUCUGCUCACUUUCUUCUACAGAAAGAACAACUUAAACUGUAGAAAAGCUAGAAAUAGUUAGAUUAGGAGAAACCUACUCUUUAUUUCCCUGUGACUUAGACUGAAACAUUCUUUUAAGCAAAGCUGCUUCCUGCUGCUCUAUACAAAAUGAUUUAAAUUGCACAGAACUACACUGGUAUAUGAACAAAAAGGAACAGCUGUAAGUGUACAGGAAAAUGAAUUCGCUAGUUAACAAUAUUUCACAGAUCUGUUUCUAAAUCUAUUUUACAGCAAGGCAAACUGGGAUACAAGAAAGCUAUCCACAGGUGUUCAAAAAGUAGCUGGCAGAAUUAACCUGGAGCCUGGGAAUCCUGAUGUCCAUUCCUGUAGUUAACCUAUGGCACAUCUGGUCAUGAUAAUCCUAUAUUCAGCGAAAGGAUAAUCUCAGGAGUAUUGAAUCUCUUUUGUGAUAAGGAAUCAGGACACCUGGAAUGUCUUUGAGGGAAUUGCACGGGCAACGUACUCCUGCACAAGGAAGGGAUCCCAGGUCCUGAUCCCAGCACUCCCCUGCUCUUGGGUGAAGUGACACUGGAACUGCAGUGCCACCACAGGAGGAAGCACUGAAAAUUUCCACCUGGAAGAAGAGACAUUUUGGGAGGAAGGAGAUGUGAGUGCACACGGACCCGCAGUGGGGAGGGGUCUCAUUUUAAAGGAGAAAAGCUUUAAGAGCCACAUCCCACUUCGAAGGCCUUCAAAAAGAUCAGUUCCUUGCCCCAGAUUUGAUGUGAUGAGGCCCAGGCUCUGAGCUCUCUCAGUAUGGCACCUCUAGACACACUAACUGCUUAGUUCUGUGUGUAACUUCAGAAAGUCAACCUCCUGGGCUGUGCUGAAGCUACAUCAUAAACUCUGUGAAGCACAGGUCAUCUUUUCAUCACAGGUUUGGAUCCUAAUCCAUUGGCUGGAUCCUGAUCUAUGACUACCCAUAUGAUAACACUUUACAGCUUGCCUCAACAGGAAGAAGCCAGUGCAAUGGCAUGACCAAAUGAGUACAGAAUAUUAGUAAGGUUGUUAGUAAGCAUAGGUGUGUGGUUUAUUAGCUCAAUGUUCCGACGUAAACUUUACUGUGGCAACCUCUAUAGCUUCUCCCACCCUCCAGAGGCCCCUUUGACCCUGCAGAAAGCUGCCCUCACUUGUGGAGCUCCCCUCACAGAAAGUGCUGGGAAAACUCUGGAAAGAGUCACCUUUUCUCUGGGAUGGGUGUUAAAUUAGGCCACACAGCACUGAUGCAAGGCUAUUCGUAUUUUAUUUUUUUAAAUUUCGACAAUGGCAGCUCGCAGAACUGGGCCGAUGAUUUUUAUAAACUGAAGAUAAGGAGUGAAUUGGUCCAAAGUUUAACAGUUUCUAUGGCCCGUCUGUCACACCCUACCCACGCAGAAUACCGCCCCGGAUCAGCAGCACUCCUCACUAUGACUACACGCAUCUAAGCCUGGCUUCACGUCCCCACCUGCACGGGCUUGGGUUCCCAUUUGUACCUUCGAUCUCCUGCUCCAACCUCCCCACUACUUGUCACCUUCCCCCGUGUCACUCCCGUCACCCGUGCCAAUCCACCCCGGUGCUCCCGGCCCCAACUCUCCCGAGGAGAACCCCAAGCAUCGGCGCCACCUGAUGCGGUUCCCCCUCAGCAUCCCCGGGCGGACCCCGCGGCGGGGCGGGAUCCCCCGGGGGCAGGCCGGGCCGGGGGAGGGGAAGCGCGGCGGCCGUCUGUCUGUCUGUCUGUUAGCCCGCGGUGUGGCUCCGUCCCCGGCUUUGUUGUGCUCGCCGCCCGGGCUCCGGGCGAGGG
Molecule: long non-coding RNA, 2601 nt
Organism: Strigops habroptila (Kakapo)
Lineage: Eukaryota; Metazoa; Chordata; Aves; Psittaciformes; Psittacidae
Exons: 3
Source: RefSeq, a predicted model, not a curated record